Molecule: transfer-messenger RNA, 77 nt
Filed under: Candidatus Midichloria mitochondrii IricVA
Lineage: Bacteria; Pseudomonadati; Pseudomonadota; Alphaproteobacteria; Rickettsiales; Candidatus Midichloriaceae
Description: transfer-messenger RNA Midic_mitoc_IricVA
Rfam family: Alphaproteobacteria transfer-messenger RNA
About the family: Bacterial tmRNA, also known as 10Sa RNA or SsrA, is named for its dual tRNA and mRNA-like properties. Its role is to liberate the mRNA from a stalled ribosome.
Source: RNAcentral
GCUCAAUAGGCUAUGGUGAUAAACGUAACUUAUAAUGGGUAUUUUGGACUCGGGGGCGGUACCCGGCACCUCCACCA